UUGGGAGCUCUCCCAUAUGGUCGACCUGCAGGCGGCCGCGAAUUCACUAGUGAUUAGAGUUUGAUCAUGGCUCAGGAUGAACGCUGGCGGUGUGCCUAAUACAUGCAAGUCGAACGGGGUGCAGCAAUGUACCUAGUGGCGACCGGGUGCGUAACACGUAGCUGACCUGCCCCUCAGCGGGGGACAACAGACCGAAAGGACUGCUAAUACCGCAUGACCUCCGGGUUUUUAGAAAGCCUGGCGGAAACUUACGGGGCUGAGGGAGGGGGCUGCGGCCCAUCAGGUAGUUGGUGAGGUAAAAGCUCACCAAGCCAACGACGGGUCGGGGACCUGAGAGGGUGGUCCCCCACACUGGGACCGACAAACGGUCCAGACUCCUACGGGAGGCAGCAGUAAGGGAAUAUUGCCCAAUGGCCGAAAGGCUGAGGCAGCAACGCCGCGUGCGCGAUGAAGGCCUUCGGGUCGUAAAGCGCUUUUCGGGUGGAUGAGGCAGGACAGUACACCCGGAAUAAGGAACGGCUAACUACGUGCCAGCAGCCGCGGUAAUAAAUCGAAUUCCCGCGGCCGCCAUGGCGGCCGGAAGCAUGCGACGUCGGGCCCA
Molecule: ribosomal RNA, 601 nt
Filed under: uncultured Actinomycetes bacterium
Lineage: Bacteria; Bacillati; Actinomycetota; Actinomycetes
Description: bacterial SSU rRNA
Rfam family: Bacterial small subunit ribosomal RNA
Source: RNAcentral